Long non-coding RNA from Mytilus trossulus (common blue mussel), 683 nucleotides. RefSeq lists it as uncharacterized. The transcript is spliced from 2 exons. NCBI's taxonomy places the organism in Eukaryota, Metazoa, Mollusca, Bivalvia, Mytilida, Mytilidae. The record is from RefSeq and is a predicted model, not a curated record.
UUCAACUAAGGUAUUUGAACCUGAAUUAAUUAUCACAUGAUUUAAAAAUAAUAUUCCAGUGGAAGAUACACCUUAAUCGCUAAUCCCGGCUGACCCGGCCGCUUGACAUUUUGACGCAUACAACAAUCAUUUUUCCAUUGCGGCGUCAGAUAUUUUGUUUUAUGACGUCAAGAUUUUAAGGGGACUUGUAUGAUAUCCAGUAAUGGCGGACAUAUAGCGAUAAGGUGUAUUGGGAAAACCAGUGUAAAAACUACAAGUUCAGUAAAUAACAUAAAAUGCCUCAAACUUAAAGCAUUCAACACAUAGAAACUGUUGACAUUGAUGGUGUUGUUGGAGGAGUAUCAUCGUCGUUAUGUACUUGGAAGCAUGAUUAUUGCUAAAUAGUCGUGAUCUUUUGACAUUAAAAUGAUUAUAACUUCCCUAAAUAGUUCCUAUUUGGAUUUUAAUUAUCAAAGUGCAUUUGCACUCUCCGCAAUGUACUCUGUCAACCGACACAAUAUUCAGGAUAUUCUGUUUGAGUCAAAAAUAAUCUCACAUUAUAAACUUUAAUAUUUGUUUAAUAUUUAGACGAAUAAUGACAUUUAGAUGAAUUUAUAUAAAUAAUAUAACGUUUUUCAGUUUCUAAUUCCUGUUGAAUAGCAUGGAACAUACGCAAUCUUAUCGAUAUAUACUUACAACCUCAA